RNAcentral lists this small nuclear RNA (61 nucleotides) under Myotis davidii. Lineage: Eukaryota; Metazoa; Chordata; Mammalia; Chiroptera; Vespertilionidae. The record is from RNAcentral.
UAGAUUAGCAUGGCCCUUGCACAAGGAUGACACACAGAUUCAUGAAGCGUUCCAUAUUUAA